UAAACUACGAUUAGAUACCCUAUUAUUUUAAAUGUUAAGUGUGUACACUUGAGUAGUAUUAGUUAUGGUCUUGAAACUCAAAGAAUUUGGCGGUGUUUUAGUCCUUUCAGAGGAACCUGUCCUGUAAUCGAUAGUCCGCGUUGAACCUUACUUUGCUUUGUAGUCAGUUUGUAUACCUCCGUCUUCAGAAUAUCCUAUCAGGGUAUCUAAUGUUCUUAAUCUUUUAUUAGGAGAUGAUGUCAGGUCAAGGUGCAGCUUAUAGUUAAGUAGUGAUGGGUUACAAUAAAUAUAUUUAUACGGAGAUUAGUUUGAAAGUUAACUAUUUGAAGGUGGAUUUGAAGGUAAUUUUGUUUAUUAUAUUAACUUGAUUUUGGCUCUAAAACAUGCACACAUCGCCCGUCGCUCUUA
RNAcentral lists this ribosomal RNA (408 nucleotides) under Paraperla frontalis. RNAcentral's name for it is "partial 12S ribosomal RNA". The stretch from base 50 to 408 matches the Rfam family "Bacterial small subunit ribosomal RNA", at positions 874 to 1405 of the family's 1533-position model. Lineage: Eukaryota; Metazoa; Arthropoda; Insecta; Plecoptera; Chloroperlidae. The record is from RNAcentral.